Long non-coding RNA from Pipistrellus kuhlii (Kuhl's pipistrelle), 134 nucleotides. RefSeq lists it as uncharacterized. Lineage: Eukaryota; Metazoa; Chordata; Mammalia; Chiroptera; Vespertilionidae. The record is from RefSeq and is a predicted model, not a curated record. The transcript has 3 exons.
UGUAUAAAUAGAAAUUGUUUUCUUUAAAACCCAGCUCCUGCCGAAACCGGUGUGGCUCAGAGGAUAGAGCGUCGGUCUGUGGACUGAAAGGUCGCAGGUUCGAUUCCGGUCAAGGGCAUGGACCUUGGUUGCGG